AUUCUGAUGACGAGUUCCAAACAGGACGAAACACGCGUCCUGGAU
Molecule: non-coding RNA, 45 nt
Filed under: Schistosoma mattheei
Lineage: Eukaryota; Metazoa; Platyhelminthes; Trematoda; Strigeidida; Schistosomatidae
Source: RNAcentral